This 520-nucleotide ribosomal RNA is filed under the name uncultured Archaeospora. Its description in RNAcentral is "SSU rRNA". It matches the Rfam family "Eukaryotic small subunit ribosomal RNA", at positions 569 to 1091 of the family's 1831-position model. Lineage: Eukaryota; Fungi; Glomeromycota; Glomeromycetes; Archaeosporales; Archaeosporaceae. The record is from RNAcentral.
AGCAGCCGCGGUAAUUCCAGCUCCAAUAGCGUAUAUUAAAGUUGUUGCAGUUAAAAAGCUCGUAGUUGAAUUUUGGAUUCGGCCAAUUGGUCCAUCUUUUAGAUGAGUACUGGUUGUGUUGGGUCUAUCCGCCUGGUGAUACGUAAUGUCCUUUAUUGGAUGUUGCGGGUAGUCAGGACCUUUACCUUGAAAAAAUUAGAGUGUUUAAAGCAGGCUUAUGCCGGAAUACAUUAGCAUGGAAUAAUAGAAUAGGACGAAGUUGUUUUAUUUUGCUGGUUUCUAGGACAACCGUAAUGAUUAAUAGGGAUAGUUGGGGGCAUUAGUAUUCAAUUGUCAGAGGUGAAAUUCUUGGAUUUAUUGAAGACUAACUACUGCGAAAGCAUUUGCCAAGGAUGUUUUCAUUAAUCAAGAACGAAAGUUAGGGGAUCGAAGACGAUCAGAUACCGUCGUAGUCUUAACCAUAAACUAUGCCGACUAGGGAUCGGGCGAUGUUGUUUCCAUGACUCGCUCGGCACCUUAU